Non-coding RNA from Perkinsus marinus ATCC 50983, 74 nucleotides. The record is from Rfam. NCBI's taxonomy places the organism in Eukaryota, Perkinsozoa, Perkinsida, Perkinsidae.
GCUGGAAUGGUCUAGUCGGUUAUGACGACUGCCUCACACGCAGUAGGUCCCGAGUUCGAUUCUCGGUUCCAGUA